UAACAAGGAUUCCCCUAGUAACUGCGAGUGAAGCGGGAUGAGCUCAAAUUUAAAAUCUGUCAGCUUUCGCUGUCCGAGUUGUAAUCUAGAGAAGCAUUUUCUGUGAUGGACCGUGUACAAGUUUCUUGGAAUAGAACUUCAUAGAGGGUGAGAAUCCCGUCCAUGACACGGACUACCGUUACUUUGUGAUAUGCUCUCAAAGAGUCGAGUUGUUUGGGAAUGCAGCUCAAAAUGGGUGGUAAGUUCCAUCUAAAGCUAAAUAUUGGCGAGAGACCGAUAGCGAACAAGUACCGUGAGGGAAAGAUGAAAAGCACUUUGGAAAGAGAGUUAAACAGUACGUGAAAUUGUUGAAAGGGAAACGCUUGAAGUCAGUCGCGUUGCUUAGGACUCAGCCUUGCUAUUGCUUGGUGUACUUCCUAUGUAACGGGUCAACAUCAAUUUUGGUUGGUGGAUAAAGGUUGAGGGAAUGUGGCAUCUUAGGAUGUGUUAUAGCCUUCUUCCGUAUACACUGGCUGGGAUUGAGGUCUGCAGCACGCCUUUAUGGCCGGGGUUCGCCCACGUAUCGUGCUUAGGAUGUUGGCAUAAUGGCUUUAAGCGACCCGUCUUGAAACACGGACCAAGGAGUCUAACAUGCUUGCGAGUAUUAGAGUGGAAAACUCUUGUGCGUAAUGAAAGUGAAAGUUGGGACUCUUCGCGGAGGCACCGACGCCCGGCUCUGAAGUUUACUGACGAUGCUGCGGUAGAGCACGUAUGUUGGGACCCGAAAGAUGGUGAACUAUGCCUGAAUAGGGUGAAGCCAGGGGAAACUCUGGUGGAGGCUCGUAGCGAUUCUGACGUGCAAAUCGAUCGUCAAAUUUGGG
This 860-nucleotide ribosomal RNA is filed under the name Xylodon sambuci. RNAcentral describes it as "partial large subunit ribosomal RNA". It matches the Rfam family "Eukaryotic large subunit ribosomal RNA", at positions 66 to 915 of the family's 3401-position model. The record is from RNAcentral. Lineage: Eukaryota; Fungi; Basidiomycota; Agaricomycetes; Hymenochaetales; Schizoporaceae.